AUGCAAGUGGGCGACUUGGCAUGGUGGCUUGGCCUCCUGCUCGGCGCCGUCCCGUUGGCCGCUCUCGCUGUCUGGCGCUGCAACGACGCCUGGUACUGCGCCGCCUUCGCGCUGCGGCAGCGGCGGUGGCGUCGUGGUCGCCACGUUCGGCUCCCACCAGGCCACAUGGGCAUCCCCUUCUUUGGCGAGACCGCCGCGUUGUCCUGGUACUUCAAGGUGGCGCGCCGGCCGGACGGCUUCAUCGAGGCCAGGAAGAAGAGGUACGGCGAAGGGGUGGGCAUGUACAGGUCCCACCUCUUCGGCAGGCCGACCAUCAUCGUCUGUGACCCGGCGGCCAACAAGUUCGUCCUGCAGUCCCACGACAACUUCUGGCUCCGGUGGCCAGCGAGGGACCUCCUCGGCCUGUCGUCCAUGUUCAACGUCGAGGGGAGCAUGCACAGGAGAAUCAGGGGCUACGUCGUCGCCACGUUCAGCAAGCCGAGGUCCCGGAGGAACAUCGCCCGUAUGGCUCAGCCCUGUGUCGUGGAGGCGCUACGGUCGUGGGCGGACAAGGGAACCAUCAUCGCCGCCAAGGAGAUCAGGAAGGUGAUGUUCGAGAGCACUCUCGAGAUAUUUAUAAGCAUGAAGGCGUCUCCUCUCACAGAAAAGAUGGAUAAAUGGUUUGUAGGCGUACUUGGCGGGCUCACGGCACUGCCACUGGACUUACCGGGAACAGCGCUGAAUCAUGGUCGGAAGUGUCGAAGGAGGUUACAUGCAGUGUUUGAAAAGGAGCUUCAGAAGAGGAAAAAUAACGUGAAAUGGGGGCUUGCCGCGGAGGAAGACUAUGAUGAUGAUUUGAUGAGCGGGCUGAUGGAAAUGGAAGAUGAACAAGGGGAAAAGCUGAGCGACGAGGAGGUGCUGGAUAACAUUGUCUCGCUGGUCUUUGGCGGUUACGAGUCCAUUUCCAGUGCUGUGUUGUGGGCUGCCUACCAUUUGGCCAAAUCGCCGGUUAUCCUUGCCAAGUUGCGGAAUGAGAAUGCCGCAGUGAGCGAGGGUAAAAGUUCAAACUUUCUUACUCUUGAUGACAUUCCAAAGAUGAAAUACACGGCCAAGGUAGUUGAAGAGGCAAUUAGACUGGCCAAUAUUGCUCCUAUGGUCCAUCGUGUGGCUUAUAGAGACGUCGAGUAUGGAGGAUAUACAAUCCCACAAGGGUGGCAAGUUGUGGUGUGGCUCCGCGCAAUGCAUAUCGAUGCGAAAUACUAUCAGGAUCCACUGAUCUUCAACCCAGAUAGAUGGAAUGAACCACCAAUGGCAGGAACAAAUCAACUGUUUGGAGCUGGCAACAGGACAUGUGCGGGCAACAUGCUUGCCAGGCUACAGAUCACCAUCAUGUUGCAUCAUCUUUCACUUGGUUACGAAUGGGAGUUGCUUAAUCCGGAUGCGGGGGUUAAGUACAUUCCACAACCAAUGCCAGUUGACGGAGCACCAAUGGCGUUCCAUAGACUUAGUACAAGUACUCAAUGA
This 1503-nucleotide ribosomal RNA is filed under the name Triticum aestivum (bread wheat). RNAcentral describes it as "partial small subunit ribosomal RNA". Lineage: Eukaryota; Viridiplantae; Streptophyta; Magnoliopsida; Poales; Poaceae. The record is from RNAcentral.